AACGCGAAGAACCUUACCUGGGCUCGAAAUGUUAUGGACCGUCUGUGAAAGCAGGCUUUCCCGCAAGGGACCGUAAUAUAGGUGCUGCAUGGCUGUCGUCAGCUCGUGUCGUGAGAUGUUGGGUUAAGUCCCGCAACGAGCGCAACCCUUGUCCUGUGUUGCUAACAUUCAGUUGAGCACUCGCAGGAGACCGCCAGGGAUAACCUGGAGGAAGGUGGGGAUGACGUCAAGUCCUCAUGGCCUUUAUGUCCAGGGCUACACACGUGCUACAAUGGACGGUACAAAGGGCUGCCAACCCGCGAGGGGGAGCCAAUCCCAAAAAACCGUUCUCAGUUCGGAUUGCAGGCUGCAACUCGCCUGCAUGAAGCUGGAAUCGCUAGUAAUGGUGGAUCAGAACGCCACCGUGAAUACGUUCCCGGGCCUUGUACACACCGCUAGUC
This 440-nucleotide ribosomal RNA is filed under the name uncultured bacterium. Its description in RNAcentral is "bacterial SSU rRNA". It matches the Rfam family "Bacterial small subunit ribosomal RNA", at positions 958 to 1398 of the family's 1533-position model. The record is from RNAcentral.